Non-coding RNA from Dermacentor andersoni, 5927 nucleotides. Lineage: Eukaryota; Metazoa; Arthropoda; Arachnida; Ixodida; Ixodidae. The record is from RefSeq and is a predicted model, not a curated record.
GCACAUUCUAUCUUGAUGUGGCUCGUUUGUGAUAAACCUAUUCCAAAAUUCUUAGUGAACAGCUUUGAGCAAAAGCUUUAGAAUGUGUCUCUGUAACCUGUUGCCAGUUCGCCAUCACCAGAAAGAAAGUAAUAAGCUCAGGAAAAAUUAUCGCUGACACAUUUUGGCACUUUGUGUGUGGACACCUAAAAAAACAAAAAGAGGGCUCCAAUCCACGCUGUGAAGGUGGUUGGCCAGUGUAGCUGUGGUAUCAGCUCAGGAUGUCUACCAACCGGGAAAACCGGGAAUUCUCAGGGGUUUUGAAUAGUCUGGAAAUAGUCAGGGAAAUCUCAGGGAAUUUUUGCUCCGAUCAGGGAAAAUUUGGUGUUAUUUUAUCGAAAGGGAACGAAGGUCGCGAUAACGCUAGCUGACUCGAGUAAAACAGAGGGGAAUAGUAAUGAAUCGUCGUUGACGUCGUGUCGACGGCUGGAGGAUUGCCAUUGUACAGUCAACGGCCGACUUCUGGACGUCCGACGGCUUCGUGGCACCACCACCUAUACCAUAGGGUCAAUAAUUUAUAAGAACGUCUGAAAUUUCAGACGCAAGAACCUUUUGCUGUCCGAUUUUCGGGACUUUUUGCCGUGACCGCAGGUCUGAAACGGCAUUAGUCAAAGCCACCACAUUCGAUUUUGAGUAUCUCGCCGCCUCGAACCGGCACUCCCAUGCAGAUCCGCUGGCAGCCGUAGCCAUCACCGCAAAAAACGCCAGGCGUAGCUGCUUCCACGUUCGCUAUUAAGUUUCUUGUCGUUUGGUGCCGUGUUCUUUAUUUAAAGGAUUCGCCCCUGUCAGCAAUGGCACCGACUCCGCCUUUCUGGUACUGGCGAUUGACUUCGGAGGUCGGAAAGCACUGCGCGUUGCAUAAAGCCGGGUCCCGAAAGUGAGCUCUGCCUCAUUACAGAAUUGUUACGCGGCGAAGAAUAACAAGCAUGCGAAGGGGCGAUUGUCACGGGACACAGUACGCAUUCCUUAAUUAUACACGCGUGCACCCGCCAUCUCCUGUCAAAGUGCGAGCACCGAUAUGCCUAAUAAGUGUACUGGCUGUCCUUCAGAGCUUUUUCGGAUGUGUCUGUAGCAAUUUUGAGCCCUCAAGAUCAGUAAAAGACAUGCAUUCAAUUUUUUGUCAUCCUCCCCUUUUCGAAAUGUCCGGUUUUUCGGACGUUUUCGUGGCCCCUAGGGAGUGCGAAAAAUUGGACGUUGACUGUAGAACUAACCAAGAGCAUGCUUGAAAUGGUCCGUGUUGCAAACGCACGGCGGAAGGACGAGAACAGAAAGGACCUAGAUAUUGAGGAAUGAACGGGAAAGGAAGCGUGCCGCCACUUCUUUGAAAGAGCUUGAGUUCAAAAAGCAAAGUGUUGGUUUACGCUGAGAUGCAGGUUUCCCUCAUCCAAACCAAUAUAAAAUCUUUAACCCUUUGAGGGUCGAAUUAUAUUGAAAAAAACUUUCCCAGGUGGUCAAAUUACUUUAUUGCGGAUAUUGAAUGUACAAAAUGUAUAAAGUCGGGAAUAAAUAGUAAAAAAUAAUUAGGAACAGUAUUUUGGUGUCGGCAUCACUCAGAACUGCAAAAUGUUCCAUAGUAUUUCCGAGCGUGAUACUCCUUGAAACACAGGUCUACGCACAGCGCCUUAUCGCAGUCUGCACACCUAAAAUGCGUGUCUGUUCUCUUGGAGCGUGUCUUAUGUGUAGGCGCACACAUGACAUCUCUGCGUGCGGCUGCCUUGGGCAGAGGUCUGAGGCACCCUCUCGCGUAAGCGCGCUGCCGCGGAGAGCGAGAAUACCUCGCGAACGGCGCUGAUAAGCAAGUGGUGAUAAACAAGCUAAGAGCAGUGCCAAUCAAGAUAGAAAUCAACUUCCGCCGCCCCUGCGAGAGCGUGCCGACAAAGAGAAAAACCAUGUUUCACGUGCCUUCGUUGCGAUCACGCGGCGGAACCGAAACCGCGUAAGCGCGUUGGCACUGAGAGCGAGAAUACCUCGCGAACGGCGCUGAUAAGCAAGCUAAGAGCAGCGCCAAUCAAGAUAGAAAUCAACUUCCACCGCCCUGCAAGAGAGUGCCGACAAAGAAAAAAAUGGCGUUUCGCGCGCCUCCGUUGCGAUCACGCGGCGAAACCGAAACCGCCAAAGGGGCAUUGCCGCAGUCUGAGCGACGCGCUGAAGCUAGCAAUCAGCUCUGUUUAUCUCCCCAAGAAGGUAGCACCAAUUUCAAACGCAUCUUGUAAGUGCUAAGAGGUGGCAGCACCUCCCGGUGAGGACGCAUCGUCAUUAUGGCGCGAAAUUCUAAACGGAGGGUCGGAACCGUACCCGUACGGCGAAGACCUUGCGGGACAGAAAACCGCUGCCGUACAUGUACGGCUAAAACCUUCAAAGGGUUAAAUCAGUGAAAUGUAACACUGGGGCAUUGUGCGGGGGCCGAGAGUAUGUCAGGACAGUUGAGGUUGACUUUAUUACCAGCCAUUGAGAGAGAAUCUCAUUUGUGACAAAGUUCGGGCUUGCUUGCUAUCAGUUGAUAGAAAGCUUGCUAUCAGUUGAUAAAAAUGGUUCAUAUUCAAAAAUAUUUCAUUCGGUAUGCAUCUCCUUCUUAUUCGUAUUUGAGAAUGUUCAACUCAGUUCGCAGUGGGCUUUACCAUUCUUUUCGAAGGUAUUUUAUUCACUGUGCAGUUUACUAACCCUUUUCUUCUGUUCUUUUUUUAAUAAAAUAAGCAUUCAAACUGGAUUAAGGGGGGACGCGGGUUUUACAUAGCGAAAAAUGGCCAAAAAAUCGAUUUUUUGAAAAUCACAUUUUCAGUUUCUAUAACCCUUUUUCUAUCUGAUACCCAAAUACCAUCACUGUAAACCACUUAGAAGUACUCUAAAAAAUUCGUUUUAUCGGCCAAGGUGGCGAAAAAUCUCGCGGAAAUCAAGAAAGAACAGCGUUUUUCACGCCACAAUAUCUCCGGAACGGCGCGACCGAGCGCCGCCAUCUUGGUCUCGUUGGAAAGCGCAUUUCUCCGUCUUCAAAUUUGCUGCUUCAGCGAUCUCCUCCAUACAGAAACAAGCACACAAAAAGCAAAUGACUGAAGGUCAUGCCGGAGUCUGCGAUUGGCCGCGCCUGCCACGUGACUCCAGUGCGGUUCGCCAUUGGUCCGGCGCUCGCGUCGUCUGCUCGGCUCUUUGCACCUCGCGAGUUUGAUGUCUCCACUCGCCGUAAUCUCGACGUGUCAAAACGGGCGCUACGCGGACAUCGCAGUAGCGUGGCCGAUCCCUACGCUUGUGGACGUUUCAGACUCGCGGCUAAGCAUUCCGGGCAUCGGCGACACCGACUUCGCGACCAAGAUUCACGCGCGGAAUCUUCGGACAUGCGGCUAAGCCUUUCAGCACUCGGUGUUUCGAAUUCGUGACAAAUUCGUAUCGCGCACGCAAUCUUCGGAAACGCGGCUAAACAUAUCGCGUAUAGGUAGUCUCAGACUCUGCGAUCAUGCACAUCGCGCGCGGACUUCUCGGACCGUCACGUAAUCAUUUUGUGCAUCGGCGCCUCCGACUGCGCGAAUAAGCGCAUCGAGUAUCGACUCCUCGAGCCCGCGGCUAGGAAUUUCGCGCGUCGGCACAUAGGACUGCGCGAAUAAGCGCAUCGAGUAUCGACUCCUCGAGCCCGCGGCUAGGAAUUUCGCGCGUCGGCACAUAGGACUGCGCGAAUGAGCGCAUCGAGGGUCGACUCCUCGAGCCCGCGACUAGGCAUUUCGCGCGUCGGCACCUUGAACUGCGGGACUAAGCACAUUGCGCGUCGGCUCCUUGUAUAUGCGGCUAUGCAUUUCGCACAUCGGCACUUCGGACUCGCAACCAAGCACAUUGCGCGUUCACUCUAUUAUCAUAUUGUCAUGAUAGCUCCUAACAGUAUCUAUCAUACCACCCCUUCAUAAAGAGAACCUCAUCAUGAGCUCUGUUCACUAGGCCCCUUGGGCUGGCACACACCUGGCUGCAGAAGUGAUCGAGGCAUCAUACAAAAGUACAAUUCUGGAAAGCACCUAGCAGCUGCAUAUCUAUCACUGGCUCUCUGAUCCUAAGUUCCACAGCCACUGUCAGGUGAAGAUGACUUGGAAGGCUACUUACACUCAGAGCCUUCAUUCAGUAACAUGGUCAGUUAUACCAAAUGAAAAAAUGCCUCACUGAGUGUAAUGGAGACUGCUAUCAAUCAGGCAGCCUGCAUGUACAACACUGGAACUAUAUUCAUGCCCACACAGAGUUCUACCCUUCGGUUUGAAACCCAGGCACCAUGCUCUUGGUAGAGCAUGGUGCCUAAUAAAGUUCCUUGUGCUAGUUCAGUGGCCAGUGUGCUAUUAUUUUGAGAGUGUGCAGUCACACAUUUAGUAUGGCCAUUCUUACAAAACAUAGAGCUUCAAAACGGUGCCAUUUGUAUUGCUGUAGAUUCUCUUCAGCAAAAGCUACAUUUGUUUGCAACUUCAAAUGCGUUUAUUUCAGUUCGAUGUUUUUGCACACUGUACUCCGCCUUACGGGUGUUUUUUGUGGGUUGUUUUUGCCCAAAAAUGACAAGGGUGGUAUCAUUUUAUUCGUAUUGAAAUGAUCUGGGGGUGACGCUAUUUUUAUUACUCUUGCACCGUCAUGAAAAUUACAUUCAGGUAUAGUAAUCGCUGCUAAUUAGAAAAAAAAUGUUCAUAAUAAAUGCAAGAUUGUUUUCUUGUCUGCAAAAUGCUUCCAUAUGAAUAAAAAUAGCAUCGCCCCCUACAGUAGGUCUUUAGCAAUGGUGUCAUGCAUUUAGUUUUUGGUUUAGCAAGACGGAAUCAUCACAAAGCCCCGUAACGAGUUUGAAAUUAAUUUGACUUCAGACCUCAAUAUGUUUUGAACUGCUACAGCUAUCAGAAAUCUAAUUACAGAUCUGAAAUCAGCACGAAAAAUUACUUCAGACAGUGGAGUUUAUUAAAGAUUCACCCAAAAAUAAGAAAAAAAUUUCUAGAACCCACCUCCCCCCUUAAGUCAUGUUUAUUUUAUAACGUGCUUACUAGAGAGGGAUAGGAUUGGGAAACAUGGUGUGAACCCGUCUCGACACAAAACAAAAUUUUGUUUCACUCAGGGAAUUUUGUAAAAGCACUCAGGGAAAACCUGGAAAACUCAGGGAAUUUGGAAAUGUCAACUUGGUAGACACCCUGCAGCUGAUCCGAUAGACCAGUGUGACGUAGCCUUGAAUUGGGUCCUGUCGAGCUUGGACACGAUGCUGUUGUGCAUAUUGACUUUGCUGUUCCUUUUGUUGCUUAUCGUAUUUGUGCUGCUCUUCAGGUGUAGUAACUGUGUGUGGCUUGCUUUGGGCACGAGCUGCUGUGUCCUGCCUAACCUGAGCACGACGCCGUGGUGCAUAUUGACGUUGCCAUUCCCAUCGCCGCAUGCUGCUCUUUUGGAGUUCUAACUAUGCGUGGCCUUUCCAUAGCCCUAUCAGAACACAAAUGAAAUCAAUUGGUAGGCGGGUUCUUCUUCUACAUAUGAAAGUGUAGUGACGUCACUCCCUGCUUCGUAUGGUACAGUUGCCCCUUCCCAGAAAUCGCAACUUAUACAACCGUAAUCUUUACCGGGAAACACUUGCGGUGAACACUAUGCACGAGGGUGAGCUUCCUGCUUCUUUAUUUUUUCUUUUCCUGCACGGCCGGCGCCGCCGCCGCUGCUGCGGAUGCGUGGAGGUGAGCGCCAUCUGGUGGUGCUGCAAAGAACCCAGCAGUGCACAUGCAUCUAGGGACAGCGUUGAAUAUUGUGGGCCACUCACCGACGCUGUCGUCAAUGCCCCACAGUCAUUGCCGAGGCAGCCUCGUGUCGGCGCUCUUCGCUGCAUGCUGGUUGAAAAGCACUUCAAGAGGAAGGAGAAAAAGACAUUGCAAAAUACACCAAGCAAUAAAAAACAGAUUUCAGUUAUA